Molecule: ribosomal RNA, 135 nt
Filed under: bacterium
Lineage: Bacteria
Source: RNAcentral
CUCAGUGAUAAUAGCAAAAGGGUCACACCUAGUUUACCCGCCUUUUGGCGGGUCCCAUUUCGAACCUAGAAGUUAAGCCUUUUGUCGCCAAUGAUACUUUCGCCUUGGGCGCAGGGACAGUAGGUUUUGCUGGGA